GCGCCCCACCCCCCACCCACACCACCACGGGAUCUCCCCGUCUCGUCCUAUCCCCACCACGGCCUCGCCCCGCCGGCUCUUAUCCCCACGACGGCCUCGCCUCGCCGGCCCUUAUCACCACGAUGGCCUCUCCCCGCCGCCUCUUGUCACCACCGCGGCCUUGCCUCGCCGCCAACCCCACGGAUCUUCCCUAGAUCGGUUCUGCCGCCGCCAUCGUACUGCCCCAGAGCAGAUCGAGAUGCGAGCUGCUGGACACGACGUGGGAGGAGGCAUCUCGAAUUGGCCCGAGAUUCAGUGCGUUGACGUGCCCGCCGCAAUCAUCGCCCCCCGUGCUUGGCUCACAUAGUCGCUCCGGGAAGGGGUUCGCAGCUCGCAUACGUGCUCGGUUGCUGAAGGCGCCUUCGCCACAUUGUCAUUCAUAUGCGAGAUGUUUCUCUUUCUCUAUGUUGGCAUGGAGGAUAUAGUGUAGUGGAAGAUUGUUAGUGAAACGCAUACAGCCCAAUGAAAUCUAUCGCCUCGAGCUCCAUUAUUUAGGCCAGAUGUCAUGAGAGGUGUUGUGUCAAUUGCAUUGGCAUACAAUAAGGUCCCUCGUAUUGAAACCGCAAUGCUCCACAGUGGAGGCAGUCCCUAACUUUCCUAAGGACGUGGUGAUUUCUGGGAAGGUUAAUGUAAACCCUAUCAUGAGGAUCAUUUGUGUUUGUUCCAUCAGUGUGACAUCGUUCAACUCGGUAGGAUUCAAAUUCAACACCUGGAACAGAAUUUGAAUAUUCAGGCAUCUUUUGAUAUGCAAAAAUGACACUAACAGAAUUUGGUUCAUACCUUGGUGGGAGAACAUCCUAGCUUCUUCAUCAUGCUCAAGGAUUGAAGUGGCGGUGGUAACAUAGUCAGUUGGGAGGACCCAAUGGCAGAGUCGAUAUUAUUGACAUUUUCCUUGUUAGAAACGGCGGUAUCUGGUGUUCUUAAUGAAUUUGGACCAUGAGGUGGAGUCUGAUCACUCAUUAUCACAUGAACAGGUUCUGAAUGGGAGUACGUAUCCCACUACGCUGAGAGGAUGACAUAUUGUCUUUUCAA
This 1071-nucleotide ribosomal RNA is filed under the name Triticum aestivum (bread wheat). Its description in RNAcentral is "partial small subunit ribosomal RNA". The record is from RNAcentral. Lineage: Eukaryota; Viridiplantae; Streptophyta; Magnoliopsida; Poales; Poaceae.